This 491-nucleotide ribosomal RNA is filed under the name uncultured bacterium. RNAcentral's name for it is "partial 16S ribosomal RNA". It matches the Rfam family "Bacterial small subunit ribosomal RNA", at positions 28 to 506 of the family's 1533-position model. The record is from RNAcentral.
GAUGAACGCUAGCUACAGGCUUAACACAUGCAAGUCGAGGGGAAACGACAUCGAAAGCUUGCUUUUGAUGGGCGUCGACCGGCGCACGGGUGAGUAACGCGUAUCCAACCUGCCCAUCACUUGGGAAUAACCUUGCGAAAGUAAGACUAAUACCCAAUGACAUCCCACGAAGACAUCUGAAUGGGAUUAAAGAUUUAUCGGUGAUGGAUGGGGAUGCGUCUGAUUAGCUUGUUGGCGGGGUAACGGCCCACCAAGGCAACGAUCAGUAGGGGUUCUGAGAGGAAGGUCCCCCACAUUGGAACUGAGACACGGUCCAAACUCCUACGGGAGGCAGCAGUGAGGAAUAGUGGUCAAUGGGCGAGAGCCUGAACCAGCCAAGUAGCGUGCAGGAUGACGGCCCUAUGGGUUGUAAACUGCUUUUAUAAGGGAAUAAAGUGGGUCUCGUGAGACUUUUUGCAUGUACCUUAGGAAUAAGGACCGGCUAAUUCCGU